Molecule: ribosomal RNA, 468 nt
Filed under: uncultured bacterium
Lineage: Bacteria
Description: partial 16S ribosomal RNA
Rfam family: Bacterial small subunit ribosomal RNA
Source: RNAcentral
GACGAACGCUGGCGGCGUGUUUAACACAUGCAAGUCGAACGGAAAGGCCCUGCUUUUGUGGGUUGCUCGAGUGGCGCACGGGUGUGUAACACGUGAGUAACCUGUCCUUGUCUUUGGGAUAACUUCAGGGAACUGGGGCUCAUACCGGAUAGGAGCUACUGAUGCAUGUUGGGGGUUGGAAAGUUUCGGCGGUUGGGGAUGGAAUCGCGGCUUAUCAGCUUGUUGGUGGGGUUGUGGCUUACCAAGGGUUUGACGGGUAGGCGGCCUGAGAGGGUGACCGGCCACAUUGGUACUGCGAGACGGCCCAGACGCCUACGGGAGGCAGCAGUGGGGAAUAUUGCACAAUGGGCGGAAGCCUGAUGCAGCAACGCCGCGUGCGGGAUGACGGCCUUCGGGUUGUAAACCGCUUUCGCCUGUGACGAAGCGUGAGUGACGGUAAUGGGUAAAGAAGCACCGGCUAACUACGUG